This is a long non-coding RNA of Lucilia cuprina (Australian sheep blowfly), 5387 nucleotides long. RefSeq lists it as uncharacterized. Lineage: Eukaryota; Metazoa; Arthropoda; Insecta; Diptera; Calliphoridae. The record is from RefSeq and is a predicted model, not a curated record. The transcript has 2 exons.
UUGAAUUUUAAUCGGUUUUCAUUAAUAAAUUCAAGAAAAUCGUUCAUUUUUGAAAAAGAUUUUUAAAAUAUUUUCAAAUAUUUAUAUUUAGAAAAGGAAAUCUUUUUUUAAAGAUUCUUAUGUUUCAUUUUGAAAUGGGACGAGUUUAGAAGAAUACAGUUUUCUGUAAGAUUGUCCAACGUGUCAGAUGGUAUUGAAUCGUAGAAAAACUCAAAUUUUUGUAAAAGGUUUUUUAAAACAUUUUCAAAUACACAUACACACACACACCUGGAAAUAUUUAAAAGAUUUUUUUCAUUUAUUUGGGUUUUAAAGUAAAAAAUAAAAAACUUUAACUUUAUUCUAAAAUUUCAAAACUAUGAAAAACAAUUAAUAGAAAAUUUAAAUUUGAAACUAUAUUUUGUUAAGAAAUUUUAUUUUAUAGAAGAUUUCACAAUAACCUUUAGCUAAUUACCGAAAUAUUAACAAGAAUUUUGAAAUUUUAUAAAAUUAAAUUCUUUAAAGAUUUUUUAAAUAUAAAUUUUGAUAACUUUAUUGCCAAGGCAGCUACAUAGAAUCCUAGAUAUAAACUCCUUUGCUAAAAUCACUGACAAAGAGAUAAUAUGAUUUAAGAAAUUGAAACAUGAAAAAUUAUGAAAAUUUCAACGAAAAGAAGCGAUGAAUAACUGAUGUCAAGAGUUAAACUUAUCUUAACUCUUAUUACUUUAAAAAAAAAAUAAUUAAUUUUGAAAACAAAUAUGAAAAAAUAAUGGCCAAUUGAAAUAAACAUUAAUUAUAUAUUAAAAAAAUACAUACACAUUACACAAUUACCCAGGAAAACUUGUACAAGUUUUUUUAAUUAGUUCCAGAACUUAUCCAUAUAACACUUCUACUAGAUGGGUGUUAUGAUCAGAACUAGAAUUCGUUGGAAGCGUUAGUUAAACGACAUUCGCUAAUUCCUUCGGACUGCAAUUAUUUUAUCAAUGAUUUUUGGAUUAAAUCUGUUGAGACAGCUUUCGGCUCGGUUAAAGGUUUCGUUGAAUAUCUUGAGCAUGAUCAAGAAUCAGUAGCCUUCGUUGACUUCGAAGGGGCUUAUUAAACGAGGUUUAUUAAACGAUUUCUCUAUGAACAUUGUUAUUAUUUACAGAGGGGAAACACCAGACACACUACAAGCGAAUUUCUAUUAUCUCUACUCUGGAAUCUUAUCAAUAAUUCUCUAUUAAUGAAGAUAAAUUCAAUAAAGUGCCAGUGUUUCUUAAUACCUUCAAUCUUUCCUUCAAUGACUUUGUCAUUGCAGCCAAGAAGUUUCGCUAUUUAUCUAGGUAAAACUGAACUCUCUGAGACAGUCCAGAUUAUGGAAAAGAUCUCUACUAAGACUAAGAGUAGUCUGUGCUCUUGUAAGGUUGGGUCGUCACAUAGAGAGUGUUGUACCGAUUCCUUUUCUUUUUUCGUUUAACAUCUUCUACAGUAGCUAUAACGUGGGUUGUCCAUACGUUUCGACAUUUACUCAAUCAUACAGUGCUCGGUAGUUAUACCAGUGAGAAGCCUAAUCCUUUUCUUUUUCCUUUUAACAUCUUCUACAGUAGCUAUAACGACAUUUAUCCAAUCAUACUGUGUUCAGUAAUUAUACCAGUUCCUACUAAGAGACAAGGGAAUCCUAGUCGCAUCCAAUGUCACAGUAGGUCAGAGCAGUCUAAAUAUUCUACAAGUUCGACCUGCGUUAUUACUCAUUCAUAGCUCCGCCAUCUAUCAGUUUUGAUAGAGUCAACAGGGGAGUGUGUAUACCCCGGAUGACUCUUUUGGUUGCGCAUUUAUCAGAUAUUUUAUUGCCUUUGAGCGAUUAGUGAAAAUUCAGGCCACGUUAUCUCAAAGGAAUAUCAAUCAUCCCUUGUCGGUAUUUUAAUCUUAAAAGACCACUGAGCUGGGGGUCCAAAUCGACUGUUUAAGUCGCAUAGCAGAUUUAGCAAAAAUGCCUUUGGUGUAUAUGUAUACAAGGCUUAUAAAGCCAGUGAUUGCCAGGCAUGCUAAUCUGUGUACUUUGUGGAGAGUAGAGGAGUAAAUCUUGGUAUCCACCGUUCUGCACCAAACAAGAGCUCCGUAUGUCAAAAUAGGUCUUAUGACCGCAUUGAACAUCCAGUGUAAAAUGUAAGUUUUAAAACCCCACCUUAUCCUAAAGGCUUUCUCACAUAUAUAAAAGGCAAAUAGUGCGUUCUUUAUUAGACUUUCAGCAUAACAUUUUCAUAUGAGCUUAGGUCUAAAAUUAGGUCAUGAUAUUUGGCUUCGUUUUAAGGAAUUCACGCGAAAAGUUCUGAAUUCUGGGAUUUUGGUAUAAAUAAUCAGUUUGGUAUUUGCAGGGACACCUAUUUCUUUUGAAUAAAAAGCAUAACGUCGGCAUAUGCUGUUACUUUAAAGCCCAUCCUACUGAGUUUGAAAAUGACUUUAGGGCUUGAUGGAUGACACCCCAACCAAAUGUCUUACACACUAACAUUGGAUCUAAUUCACUUAUGUGGAUUUAAAAAGCUGUGAUGUGCUCCAAAGUAGAUCCUCCAUUUUCAUAAUCUAUGCAAACCGAAAGUGUGUCAUCAAAAGGGGUUCCACAGUUUCGGUACUACUUUCAUUAAACUUACCAUCUGGUUUCCUCAAGAAUCAAGAAACAAUCGUCCCAGCUUAACUGGCCUUAAUCCCUCGUAGCCUUAAUAAAUCGUCCAUGGUCGCCGGAAUUUCUUAGGAACCUGCCGAUCCCUACAAGCAUACCAGCAAAGAAGGCUUUCCUUAAAGUCCUGAAUAAAUAAUCUAACAGUAAUUCUCAGAUUAAUGAAUUAUUCACUUAGCUCACAUUGAAGGUGCCAAACCGGCCUAAUGAUAGUCUGCCCAUUUGUUUACCUAGAUGAUAAAAUUGUAACUUCAAUAGUUUUACAGAAAAACAAAUUUUAGUAUUUAAUUCUUAUGUAAUGUGCCACGUCUCCAAUUGCUAGUCCGUCUAGCAGUUGAGGCUAAUGAUAUUUAUUCAAAACUGUUAACUACUCAACUCACUUUAUUAAAGCGUUGGGUAAUCUAAACUUGUACUAAAAAAUAUUGCUAGAAUCAGUUCUUUAUUAAAUGAUUUUAUAAUGAAUUUGUCACACUCGGAACUAGUUUUAGGGAAGCUUCAUAUAACUUCUUCAAUUAGUAAUCAGUUUAAUGUUCAGAAACUCAGUUUUCUUCCAUUCAGUGCUUGUGAGAAAAAUUUUUUCCUGAAUAAUAUCAUUCCCAAAAUACUUAGAUCUAACUUCCACGAAUGACUGACAGUGGCAGAAAAAGUGCUUCAGAGUUUCAAUGUUAUCCUCACAUGCUCUACAUUCAUCUAAAUCCGCACGUCUUAUUCUGUGACCGUAAUCCUGUGGGUCCGCACAUAAUACCUACCAUUAUACAAAUCUCAGUUUUGAUCAUUUUGAGAAGAUUUCUCAUCUUGCUCUUAUCAGGAUCACCCACAGGAUCUUUGCGGUUCUACCCACUGUUUCAUUAUUCCAAGAGGAUUUAUGGAAUUCUCUCACUCAUAUUUUUAAAUCAGCUUACGCUGCAUCGAAAGGUUUUGCCUUUGUCAGGUUAAAUACCUUGAGCUCCCUUCCCUUUAAAGCUUGUACAUUAGCCCUUUCGUUGCCGACACUCCCAAGUGACCCAUAUGACGUAAACCUUGCCUCAGGGAGGUUAAAACUUUCUUACAUUCAAAUAUGGUUUUAGAUAUAAUUUUAUCACCUCAUAUUUCCCCGAUUGACUUGAAGCUGUCAGUAAAUACAUGAAGCCCUGUGGGUGCCGUUUUUUCGGACUGUCUAAAAGCUUCUGUAAUGAUUAGUUACACUGUAGUAUAUUUCUGUUUCUGGGUCUUCAGUAUACAACCCAGGUACUUAUUGUCCCCUAAUUUAUAGCAUUCCGUGCAGCAACGGACUCCUACUUUAUAUGCUCGAAAGCCUCGCUUGACGUAAACAUUCUAUCUGAGAUUAACUUCCAAAGCUUUUGACAUAUUCUCAUCUGGUAUGCGAUCGGGCACGUUGGAUGAUUGUAUAGCACCUUCUAGUAUACAUUAAUUACGUGUUCUAUAACAGCUUUUGGCCAGUUCGCCUAAAGUAAAGAGCAUUUCGGCUAUAAGCGCCGCCUCAUAUCUUAAAUAUGUUGCAAUGGGUGUAAUAUCUAGCAACCUUUCAAGAGCCUUGGUUGACGUAAUAUUAAACUCCUAGUAGUAGUUUGAUAUUACACUUUUUGUCCAAAGUUGUCCACCAGUUUAUUAAAGCAUAAGAAAUAAUUGCUGUUAUUAUACUUUUAUGAUGCCAAUUUGUCAGUAAGAAUAAGAACCAAUUUCAUGCCUAUAGUCCUCCUUUAUAUCGUCCUGUUCCGAUAUGCCUUGUUGUUCCUAUUCUGUAUGUGGUGUCAAAGAUUACACCGAAGUACUUAACUUUGUCUGUUACCGGUUUUUUCUUGCCCAGAAAGCAUGAUUAAGUAUUCGUAUACAUUUUUCACUUUUUUGUGAAAAGAUAGAUUUCCAUCUUCGAGGGUUAACAUUGAGGCCUCUCGGUUGAGAACAGCUAAAGGUCGUAUUGGGAGACUUCUCAGCUCUUCUACACAAGUAAUUGGAUAUUUUUCCUUUAAAAGUAUUAAGGCAUCGUUUGCGAAGCAGACACGUCUAAAUCCUUUUUGAGUUAGCGAACUUCGUGGUAAUCGCGAAAUACCUUUUUCCUGAUAGUUACGUAGAUCUCGAUGCUUAUCCACCUUUUUCUUAGCAUGUAGUUUAUCCAGUUACUAGGUUUCGAAUCACAACAAUGCUUCAUAGAACGGGUUCUAAAAGUACUUCACAAUCACAACAAUGUCCCAAAGAAUGAGUUAAAGAGACUUGUGCCAACUUGUGCUAGGAACUAAUUCUUUAAAAACCUCCUAAGAAAUUUCAUUGUAAUCACAAUAAUGUUUUACAGAAUGGGUUCAAGAAGUAAAAAAUCCUUAGAAAUACUUGAGAAUCAUAAUAUUGUUCCAAAGAAUGAGUUAAAGAAGUAAUGGUGACAUCACUAGUGCCAACUAUUGCUUAAGAAAUAGUUCUAUGAAAAUCAUUGAACCACAAUAAUGUUUUGUAGAAAGAGUUCAAGAAUUAAAGUAUUUCUUAAAGUAGUCUUUAGAAAUACUUCUUUGAAUCACAAUUAAAUACCAGAAAAUGAACUAAAGAAGGUUUUAUCCCAAGUUACAGUUCUUUAAUCUAAAGUGUUUCUGUUUAAAGUUGUUGUAGAACUAAUUAGUUUGUUAGAAAUUUGUUAAUAUGUUUUCCUGGGAAAUUUCAAUUUCUCACUAAUUUUUCAAUAAAUUCUUUUAAAAUUCUCUUACAUAUUUUAUACUUUGUUUUAUAAAUUUAUGUUAAAAAGAAAACUAAAUAAAAUUUAUUUUUAAUUCAA